AUUGAACGCUGGCGGCAGGCCUAACACAUGCAAGUCGAACGGUAACAGGAAGAAGCUUGCUUCUUUGCUGACGAGUGGCGGACGGGUGAGUAAUGUCUGGGAAACUGCCUGAUGGAGGGGGAUAACUACUGGAAACGGUAGCUACCGCAUAACGUCGCAAGACCAAAGAGGGGGACCUUCGGGCCUCUUGCCAUCGGAUGUGCCCAGAUGGGAUUAGCUAGUAGGUGGGGUAACGGCUCACCUAGGCGACGAUCCCUAGCUGGUCUGAGAGGAUGACCAGCCACACUGGAACUGAGACACGGUCCAGACUCCUACGGGAGGCAGCAGUGGGGAAUAUUGCACAAUGGGCGCAAGCCUGAUGCAGCCAUGCCGCGUGUAUGAAGAAGGCCUUCGGGUUGUAAAGUACUUUCAGCGGGGAGGAAGGGAGUAAAGUUAAUACCUUUACUCAUUGACGUUACCCGCAGAAGAAGCACCGGCUAACUCCGUG
Molecule: ribosomal RNA, 487 nt
Filed under: uncultured bacterium
Lineage: Bacteria
Description: partial 16S ribosomal RNA
Rfam family: Bacterial small subunit ribosomal RNA
Source: RNAcentral